Molecule: transfer RNA, 71 nt
Filed under: Heliconius melpomene (postman butterfly)
Lineage: Eukaryota; Metazoa; Arthropoda; Insecta; Lepidoptera; Nymphalidae
Description: tRNA HMEL003942
Rfam family: tRNA
About the family: Transfer RNA (tRNA) molecules are approximately 80 nucleotides in length. Their secondary structure includes four short double-helical elements and three loops (D, anti-codon, and T loops).
Source: RNAcentral
GCAUCGGUGGUUCAGUGGUACAAUGCUCGCCUGGUACGCGGGCGGCCCGGGUUCGAUUCCCGGCCGAUGCA